AACGAACGCUGGCGGCAUGCCUAACACAUGCAAGUCGAACGAGACCUUCGGGUCUAGUGGCGCACGGGUGCGUAACGCGUGGGAACCUGCCCUUAGGUUCGGAAUAACUCCCCGAAAGGGGUGCUAAUACCGGGUAAUGUCUUCGGACCAAAGAUUUAUCGCCUUUGGAUGGGCCCGCGUUGGAUUAGCUAGUUGGUAGGGUAAAAGCCUACCAAGGCGACGAUCCAUAGCUGGUCGGAGAGGAUGAUCAGCCACACUGGGACUGUGACAUGGCCCAGACUCCGAGGGGAGGCAGCAGUGGGGAAUAUUGGACGAGGGGCGAAAGCCUGACCCAGCAAUGCCGCGUGAGUGAUGAAGGCCUUAGGGUAGUGAAGCUCUUUUACACGAGAUGAUAAUGACAGUACCGGGAGAAGAAGCUCCGGCUAACUCCGUG
Molecule: ribosomal RNA, 433 nt
Filed under: uncultured bacterium
Lineage: Bacteria
Description: partial 16S ribosomal RNA
Rfam family: Bacterial small subunit ribosomal RNA
Source: RNAcentral